UUAACGGUUAAAAUUAUAUUAUUCUCGUUUUCUUAUUACUUCUUCUUUAAUUUAGUUAAAUAAUUUGCCCUUCUUUUGCAGGAAUGGUACUCGAUAAUACUUCCAUCAGUGAAUUAUUCUACAUCCAAGCAUGAAGAAAAGGUAAACCAAGAAGACAGACAAUGAGGAUAUACCAGCUAUCAUGAGCAUGUUAGUGGUUUGAAAUACCCAAAAUGUUGACCUAUUCCCAUGCAUUUUUCGGGAAAUCCAUGAGAAUCGUCUGGAUGAAAGUACUACCCAAUAUAAACCAUCAUCAUCACAAAGGUAUAUUAAUGCCUACAGAGCAAGCCCAUGUAAAGCCAAAUGAUGUUCAAGAACAGCGAUAUUGAAAGGAAAAUAUAUUAAUAAAUAAGAGAGAUCAUGGAUAUUAAUUUCGAUUCAUUUUUACCCUACUGAGGAAACAAGAACCAACUUCAAUAUGAUAUUGUUCCUCCAUGUUGUCAGCGAAAAACUAGUGACUUUACUGCUUUCUGAAGGCAAGAAGGCUGUAAAAGAAGAAACCAUAAAUGAAUAGAAGAACCACAAAAAUAAUGCUGUAAGGUACCUAUUUGACAGUGCAAAAGAAAACCGAUGAUACCACAAGAUUAAACGUAAUUUUGACACAUCUUUUUGUUGCUGGUUUUUAAAAAAUUAGAUAGGAUGCCUGCAGUUAGGAUGUAAAAAGCUAAUAAGACCUAAUUGUAGUAAAAGUUACCUUUGCUAACCCUUUCCAUCGUCUUACAAUCCUGGUGGAGGCUGGAACCACCUUGAAAGAGAUAGGAUACUAUCAUUUCACAUCUGCAUGCAUGUUGCAGUUGCCUUUCGUUACCCCUUCCAUCGUCUUAAUAUCCUGGUAGAGACUGGAACUAUCUUGAAAGAAAAAUGAUACUCUGAUUCUACAUCUGCAUGCAUGCACAAUUAUUGCCGAAAAGUAUCUAAUUGACACCGCCCAUGAAAUCCGUUGGCACUAUAAGGUUCUGCGUAGUUCUUCAUUAUGGUCUCUUCUCAAAGCUGAGUAAAUAGUGUUAGAAGAGUUUUGAAAUAUUGCUUUAGUAAAUAGUUGAAAUGGUUAUUGUUGUAAAAUUAUAUAUUUAAAGUUAAAACGUAAGAUUUUCAAUUAAGGUUGUACUUGUACUNU
Molecule: long non-coding RNA, 1156 nt
Filed under: Agrilus planipennis (emerald ash borer)
Lineage: Eukaryota; Metazoa; Arthropoda; Insecta; Coleoptera; Buprestidae
Description: uncharacterized LOC108734719, transcript variant X3
Source: RNAcentral